CCAGUUUAUUUCUCAUAUACACACACCUACCGUCAUCUCUGUUGUUUCGAUGUUGAUCGUUUUGGUUCCGUUUGCUGUACAAAUAAAUCUUUGAAUGUCGUUUGCUUAGGAUACGAAAUUUACCAAAACGAAACACGGGGACUGUCACCGUGCCAGAACAUCCAAAGUAACUGACCUGCUGCUGUGUGGGAAUAAGAGAGCGAUCUGUGAUGGUUGCGUGUAGCACUAGUAGUAGUGGUUGACGUCCGGUAACGCUAAUUGAUAGUCCUGUAAACUGACAGCAUACGGAGUCCCACAGCACGCACGGUGUCCACGAAGGAAGUUGGAGCACGAGAGAGAGAAAGAGAGCGAGUGUGUGGGAGAGCGAGCGAACACGCUGGGGAGCGAGAUAAGCUACCACCCAACCAAGGGACAGGACGCAAGGCUGUCACAAGAAUAGACGGUGGAUGUUCUGAGAGUCUACGCGCGAGGUUCAUGGUUCCGGCUGGAACUGUUUUGAAAUCAGAGCAAGAAACGUGGAACAAGGAUACGGGUGUGUUAUCGUCAUCGUUGUCGUCGUCGUCGUGAUCGUUGUGUCGUUGUUGUCGUCUACGUGUUUAGUUGUUUUCAUAAGUUUGUUGUUUGUCCAGAAAGAACUUACGCUACAAAGCUCACAGCUUGGGGUAUUCCAAAACACGAAGGAAGCAAAUAGUUUUGGAAGACAAAACUCUAGGGCGAUCGAAAACAGAGAAGAGGAAACUCUUCGAGACGGGAUAAACAACUGGAAGCGUAGAAAGAAUUUAAGUGUUUACAAGAGAAAUGAGCAAAAUAUUACAGGGAUCUACUUUACGAGUUAAAGUUUAAGUUACGAGAAAAAAAAUCAACAAAAUCUUGGAUCAAAAACGAAAAGAAUAUCAACUUUAGAGUAAAUGAGAGGUGGAGGCAAAAUUGCAACCAAAUCACCAGGAGAGGACAUCGACACGAAACUUUGUUGUUAUCUAGUGUAUUAUCGAUAAACUCUGAUGAGGCCAGUGUAUGUAAGCUGAAGUGAGCGUGAGUGACAUUUCGAUAAUUGAAAAUCCGGAGCAUCCGAACCGGCGUGUGCAUUCAGUGAAACUGUUGGAAAGCAUCUGAUAGUGCAUCUGCUAGCGUAGGCUGUACGAAUCAUCGAGCGGCUUUGGAUCUGCUCUCACCGCAGAUCGUAGUGACGGCACAGGGAAGGCGAGGAUGCAACUACAGCAGCUAGCGUUGCAUGGGUUGCACAUCGUCCUAGAGCGGUAGUCAACAAUCAGCCUCGACAGUCGGUAGAGCGUGAGCGUGUGUCGGGCAUACAUAUAACAUUGCAUCGACUUGGCCGUCUGUGUCACGCAAGCAAGCUCGCACGCACGUCGUCGUCAUUGUUGUGUUUUUCCGUUCCCAGUGUGGUUUACCGGUAUUCGGUUUCGAGCGUUGUGUAUUUGUUUAUAACCCGUACUCGUGUGCUCAGUUUCGGGGACUUUGACUGGACUCGCAGAACAAAACCCAAACCAAAUAUCAACGUAAACCGAGCUCAAGCCAAAUCAACAACAGCAAUCGCUGCAGCCACAACAAAAAAUCAAGAAAUCACAUCAAAAAGUGCCUAACCACAAGUUCUCUGUUCUCGGUGUUGAUACGUGUUGAACUCUUCAGUUCCCCAUAGCUCGACAAUUGCCGGCAUCCAUCUGAGAUUAGCACUCGAGCAAAACAAACUAUAUCAAAUCGUACUUGUUAUCACUGACUGUUAUCCUUCCAAAGGACAUCGCAAAAUUAUAUCACGCACGCACGACCUUCUGACUGAUCCGGCUGGCCGCUAGUCGGUGGCUUCCAAAGCCUUUCGAAAGGACUGAAUCACUCGAUACAAAUCAUCAUCCCGUGCCUAGCCGGGAGAAACCCCACAAACGUACGUACGGACGGCGGGAAAUCUUAAAGAGUCUUAAAGAGACGCCGAGUGGGAAGUUUAAAUGUGAAAAUUGAUUUCCCCGUCUUGUUUUCUUAAUUUCGUGUGCACUGUAGGGAAGAGCUUGGCGGAAGGUGCAAAUUCCUGGCAAAUUUGUGACCCAAAACGAAGAAACAGCAGCAGAGGAGAACAGUGGCAGCUGAAGCAGAAAUACAAAUUUAAUUUAAAGUUUACGUGUUGAGAGCGAGCGGACGGACAGUAGUCGGAAAGUUUUCGGCCGCUUCCGGGCCAUUGGCCAUAAGACGGGAGGAAGAAAAUUGCAGAAAAAUCCGAAAUAAAGUGGAAAAAGAUUGAGUUGGUUUCCAGCCGCGAGGGAGUAGAUUGAGUGAUCCCGACGAGAGGCACGUGGAAUCGAAUUCCGCUUCGCUCGGUGAAAGUUUUAUUGUUUUCCUCAUCUAUCAGGAAAACGGAUCCGGACGGACCGAAGCCGAAGAUUUGGACCUGACCUGGCACUGACCGGUGGUGUUGGAAUUUUUAUGAUAGAUUUAGGUUUUCCUCCUUCCAGCUCAAGUGGUACUGUUGUUUGAAGAAUUCGAACGAACGGCCAAGAAAACAGGAAGUGUGUGAUAUAGUGCGAUUGUGAUAGCAUUUAUUGGCCACGUCCAGACCGAAAUUGAAAUUUCCGCUUUAAUUUCGAACACGCUCCUAAGGGCAAAGGCCGGCAGAGUAAUAUCCGAAAAUCGUGCUCUGGCGUAAUAAUUUCUAAUAAUAGUUGCAAUAACAAUAUCAUCUGAGAAAGGCGAGAAACACCUCCGGACUGGGAGUGUGUGAGUGGUUUGUGCUGUGUGCAGUUUCUCCACCGGAAAAGAGCAAAUGGUCCAGUGGUGAAAAGCAACCGAGAAAAACACACUGUGUGUCCAUAUUACUAAGUGUGGUGGAAAAUAUUAAUGAGUUUGGCAAUAUAAUAAUAAAAACAGCUCAUAAAUAAUAACGCCGAGUCGAGGUUUUGUAUUUUGAGUGUUUUCCCCCGGUCCAAAAAAAAAAGAUCGACCGAGAGUGCAUAGUAGUGGCUCUUGAAGAAAUUCGCAAAAGAGGAAGAAGAAGAAGGGGCAUAUGCGUCCUGUAGCCGAAGCAGCAGAAGAGUUUCCAAACAGGGAAGCAGUGUGAAACGAAAUUUAUAUCAAAGAAAUCACAAAUCAUAAGCGGAAAAGCGCUCCCAAGUGGCGGUGAAAGUGAAAGUCGGUACAAGUGUGGCGAAAGAAAGAAAGAGUGUGUGGGUAUGUGUGUCAUGUAUAUGUGAUUGUAGCGCUCCCCUCGAGGAAGAAUCCCACAGAAGAAGAAAAAACCAGUGCUGGUGUUUCGCAGAAGAGAUAAAAAAUAAAUGUGUAAUAAUAGUGCAAUAAUUCUCCACUCACUGUGAAUUGUAAAAUGAUUCCCCACCACUUUCAAUGAAAAGGAAACAAAAACCUUCCAGUCGGAUGCGCAGCAAGUAGUCAAGGCACAGGAACUGGACCGGAGCAAGAACACAACAACAGAAGGAAGCAUAAUCAUAGCGAGUAAAUACUAUCAGAAAAUUUGAAACAAAAAUAGCAUAAAAAGCAAGGAAAGCCUCAUUCACUUUCCGGUGAAAAGAGGAAGGUAUAAAAGCUUCACCACCCGUGUGCCUAAGUUGUUGAAGAAAAUUCUACUCGCAAAAAAAAGGAAAACAGAAAACAAACGUAGCAACACAACUGGCUCCGAAACAAGUGUGUGAGAGGAAAGUGGGAAGUGCUUUUUGUUGACCAGCAGCUAGCGGAGAAAAACACGAGGAGCUUCGUCGAUAUUUUGAACUCGACCAAAUGUUGGCCUUUCAUAACGAACAUAUAACAAGCUGUGCGUUUUUGACGUAUUUCGGUCCGGAAAACGCUAUUAACGCCCAAGGCGCGUUACAUGAAAAGCAGACUUCACCUGGGGUUUAUCUCAACCGAUUUCUUCUCUCACGCGAUGCAGAAGAGACCGUCUCUUCUACUAGCAAAAUGAAUCGGUACGUCACUUUAUUAUCAAAAGCUAGUAUUUUUCCUUCCGGUAUCGGUUCGUUCC
This is a long non-coding RNA of Ochlerotatus camptorhynchus, 3973 nucleotides long. RefSeq lists it as uncharacterized. The transcript is spliced from 4 exons. The record is from RefSeq and is a predicted model, not a curated record. Lineage: Eukaryota; Metazoa; Arthropoda; Insecta; Diptera; Culicidae.